This 253-nucleotide ribosomal RNA is filed under the name uncultured bacterium. RNAcentral describes it as "partial 16S ribosomal RNA". It matches the Rfam family "Bacterial small subunit ribosomal RNA", at positions 524 to 776 of the family's 1533-position model. The record is from RNAcentral.
UACGAAGGUCCCAAGCGUUAUCCGGAUUUAUUGGGUUUAAAGGGUGCGUAGGCGGUCCUAUAAGUCAGUGCUGAAAUAUCCCGGCUUAACCGGGAGGGUGGCAUUGAUACUGUGGGACUUGAGUAAAGUUGAGGUUGGCGGAAUUGACGGUGUAGCGGUGAAAUGCUUAGAUAUCGUCAAGAACACCUAUUGCGAAGGCAGCUAACUAAGCUUUAACUGACGCUGAGGCACGAAAGUGUGGGGAUCAAACAGG